Molecule: long non-coding RNA, 705 nt
Filed under: Mytilus galloprovincialis (Mediterranean mussel)
Lineage: Eukaryota; Metazoa; Mollusca; Bivalvia; Mytilida; Mytilidae
Source: RNAcentral
UUACAUUUUGAUCUUCUUCUAGAGAACCGCUGAAUGGAAUGAAACCAAAAAUGGCACGAGUGUUCCUUAUGAGGUGCUCACCAAGUGUUGUUACUUUGUAGUCGAUCCAUCAUCCAAGAUGGCCGCCAGCGGGGGACUUAGUUUAACAUAGGACCCUAUGAGAAAUUCAUACAAAUGACUUCUUCUAGAGAACCACUGAUUGGAAUGAAACCAAACAUGGCAUGAAUGUUCCUUAUGAGGUGCUGACCAAGUAUUGUUACUUUGUAGCCGAUCCAUCAUCCGAGAUGGCCGCCAGCGGGGGACUUAGUUUAACAUAGGACCCUGUGGGAAAUGCAUACAAAUGACUUCUUCUAGAGAACCACUGAAUGGAACGAAACCAAACAUAGCAUGAAUGUUCCUGAUGAGGUGUUGACCAAGUGUUGUUACUUUAUAGCCGAUCCAUCAUCCAAGAUGGCCGCCAGCGGGGGACUUAGUUUAACAUAGGACCCUAUGGGAAAUGCAUACACAUGACUUCUUCUAGAGAACCACUGAAUGGAAUGAAACCAAACAUGACAUGAAUGUUCCUUAUGAGGUGCUGACCAAGUGUUGUUACUUUGUAGCCGAUCCAUCAUCCAAGAUGGCCGCCAGCGGGGGACUUAGUUUAACAUAGGACUCUAUGGGAAAUUCAUACAAAUGACUUCUUUUAGAGAACCACUGAAUGGAAUG